Molecule: ribosomal RNA, 227 nt
Filed under: uncultured bacterium
Lineage: Bacteria
Description: partial 16S ribosomal RNA
Rfam family: Bacterial small subunit ribosomal RNA
Source: RNAcentral
CUGAACCAGCCAAGUAGCGUGAAGGAUGACUGCCCUAUGGGUUGUAAACUUCUUUUAUACGGGAAUAAAGUGAGGCACGUGUGCCUUUUUGUAUGUACCGUAUGAAUAAGGAUCGGCUAACUCCGCGCCAGCAGCCGCGGUAAUACGGAGGAUCCGAGCGUUAUCCGGAUUUAUUGGGUUUAAAGGGAGCGUAGGCGGACGCUUAAGUCAGUUGUGAAAGUUUGCGG